UACGUAGGGGGCGAGCGUUACCCGGAUUUACUGGGCGUAAAGAGCGCGUAGGCGGUCUUGUAAGUGUGAAGUGAAAUCUCCAGGGCUCAACCCGGAAACUGCUUUGCAUACUGCGAGACUAGAGGGAUGCAGAGGUUUGUGGAAUUCCUGGUGUAGCGGUGAAAUGCGUUGAUAUCAGGAGGAACACCCAUGGCGAAGGCAGCAAACUGGGCAUCAUCUGACGCUGAGGCGCGAAAGCGUGGGUAGCAAACAGG
This 254-nucleotide ribosomal RNA is filed under the name uncultured bacterium. Its description in RNAcentral is "partial 16S ribosomal RNA". It matches the Rfam family "Bacterial small subunit ribosomal RNA", at positions 524 to 776 of the family's 1533-position model. The record is from RNAcentral.